AACGAACGCUGGCGGCAUGCCUAACACAUGCAAGUCGAACGAGACCUUCGGGUCUAGUGGCGCACGGGUGCGUAACGCGUGGGAACCUGCCCUUAGGUUCGGAAUAACUCCCCGAAAGGGGUGCUAAUACCGGAUAAUGUCUUCGGACCAAAGAUUUAUCGCCUUUGGAUGGGCCCGCGUUGGAUUAGCUAGUUGGUAGGGUAAAAGCCUACCAAGGCGCAGAUCAGUAGCUGGUCUGAGAGGAUGAUCAGCCACACUGGGACUGAGACCGGGCCCAGACGCCGAGGGAUAGCGCUGAGGGUGAAUUUGGGGAAGAGGGCAGACAACCGAACCAGCAACCCCGCGAGGGAGUUCAAUGCUUUGGUGUUUGAAAGAAUUUUUACCCGGGGUGUUAGCGUGAGGACGGGGAUAACACGUCCGGGCGAACACCUG
Molecule: ribosomal RNA, 432 nt
Filed under: uncultured bacterium
Lineage: Bacteria
Description: partial 16S ribosomal RNA
Rfam family: Bacterial small subunit ribosomal RNA
Source: RNAcentral